GGGGGGCACUCUUUAACCACUGCAAUGAGGAAAUAGGUUUAGGUUUGUAAAUAACUUCCCAAGGUUAGGGAGUACCAGUGGUAAAAUUUGAACCUAGAUCAGUUUGCCUCCAGAUCCAUGCUGGUUCUUAUUAGAACAUGACCACUGUCCACACACAGCCUGUAUGUGCAGCACGACCAUCUUUGAGAAUACAGAGUCUUCAACAGGGGGAUGACUGUCUUUAUUUUUUCUCUGUAUAAAAGAUUUACAUUGUUGUGGCACAAACCAAACAGUGAUUUAUAUCUCAUAAUGAAUGUAGUUGAAUUCAUGGUCUUUUGCUAACUCUGAUAGCUCCAUGAACUCCUUUAGGAUUUGGAUAUAGAAUACACCAAUUUGGAGAAAGGAUGCACCAAUUUGAAAAGUUCAGUUAAAAACAAACUAAACUUAUUACAACAAACCUAGAUUGGAUUGUAUAAUGUUUUUCCUUUUCUUUUAAAUUUAGAGUGGGGUAAUAGAAUACCUAAUAGCUAGUCGGUAGUUGCUUAAGUGGUGUUGUUUGGAUAUAGUCCAGCACACCAUCCGGAGAGCUCCAUCUUGCAGUGGCCUGUCCCAUGUGCCAUCCACCUUUACAUUGAAGGCUCAGUGUGAAGAAAUUCUGUGGGCCUGCCACCGUCUGCUGUGUGCACUGGGCAGGUAAUUU
RNAcentral lists this long non-coding RNA (679 nucleotides) under Marmota monax (woodchuck). The record is from RNAcentral. Lineage: Eukaryota; Metazoa; Chordata; Mammalia; Rodentia; Sciuridae.